CGGGUUAGGCACAGUUUGCGGACAGCACAUCCCUCAACCUCUCCCGAUGUUAAGUUCUCCAAGCGAAAUCAGCAUUGACGUCGGUGCAGCCGCUGCGGAGGUCACUGCGGUUCGGUUAGGGGAGUCCGUUCCAGCGGCAAGCGACAGGGAGAAAAAGUGGAGGAGGAAAGUCAGGCUACAGCCAGUGAAGGCACCGAGAUGGAAGCACUUCGUUCUCGCUCUUGAAUUCGUGGGAAUUCACAUGCAAACACGCACCCGUGGUCUCGAAAGCACGCAACGGUAUUUGAGAAACGAAGAGCUCCCCGAAAAUAACUUCCUGGAGCCCAACAGCAGAGCCAUCAACGCAAUGAGAGCACACGGUGCCGAGAAGCAGUGAGAGGUUGUGAUGCUGACUCGGGUUUUAAGGGCAUGGGGCACUCAGAGCACGGACACAGCUCUGCUUUACACGGCUGCUCCGAUUCAACGUAAGCCUCAUUUACAGGAUGGCCCAUUUCACUGAAAUGGGAAUGUUUGGAGUAAGGACAGCCUAUUAAAGUAUUCAAUACAAGAGGUUUAAAGCAGUGCAGGUGCAACUAAAUCAUAAAUGCAGGCUGCGCUCUUAACUGGCAAUGCUGUGUGCAAGACAGGGGUGUGAAAAUGCAGUGUGUUGGGUUACAUCUAUUCUAGAACCUUUUGUUUGCUUUAAGUUCUGCCUUAUCUCAGAAGCAAAGCACUUGAUUUGAUGGUUGGAAAAAGUUUCAUCUCCAAAUAUAGGAUUGCUCUCUAUUCCUCCUCCCUACGCUAUUUGGAAGCAUCUAGAAAUAAGGUUUCACAGCUGGCAGAUCCUGAGCUGUACCUGCCCCUUCCCCUUGUGCCAUAAGGGGAUGCCAACUGGAGCCAACUCUCCCUGCUGAUCAGUGCAUCAUUUGGAGAUGCACACAUCCCAUUUAUAAGCACUGAACAAAAAAAUGCUUUCUAACUUACAAAUGCAUAAGUAAACAUUUGAUAACUUCACCACCACCUCAUCUUCCCCAAAUAGAAAAGACUGUAACCAUCACAUCCUCAAGUCCUCCAUUCAUUCCAGUAAGUAGGUGCUUUUCUCACUAGAACAGAAAAGCACAUCUGCUAGGUUUUAUAUCCAGCUUUUUAAGAUACUUUUACUGCCUUUUGCCUAGCAUAGCUUUUGGAACACGUUAGCAAAUAUUUUACCAUUGGGAGUGUAUGUUCCAUUUUAUUUUAUAAUGCAGACUUAGAAGCCCCAGCACUGAGUUUGUUUCUCUAAGCAUACAGAGCCUCAAACUAACAAGCACAUUUGGGAAGAACACUUCAGGUGGGUCUAUGUUUGUGCUGGAAGUCCCCCUCAUUUUCCAGCUUACGGAAAACAAUGAAGGUCAGCUUCCAAUGUAUCUUAGGAUAUCAAUUACCCAUGUUGAUCUUCAACUCAAGAAGCAAAAUUUGGGUUAUCAGAGCCUUUAUAUAGUUCCACCACACACACUUUGUGACAGAACUCCAGCUGGGAAAUGCAUCCUCCAUAAGAAACCAGACAAAUGCAGACACACUGAAGAGCAGAAUCACAUCCACUCAUUAACAUGAGCCUAAAGCAGUCCCCAGUCCUAUGAACAUUCUUAUCCUUAACCUAUAUUAGCCACCAGAGUGGUCUUACAAGAAUUACUUGACAAUAUACACAUGCUUAACCAUCUGUACAGCGUGGGCCUCCUUUUUAUUUCUUGACUCAACUCAAUUCUGUCUUAAACAGGUGUCUAAUUUCCAUUACAUGAAUACUCAAUCUGAAGCCAUGCCACAGGGACACUCUGCCAACUCACUUCCCCUCUUUAAGCCCCACACUGGAUGAUAAUCUGAUUUUUUUCCCAUGUUUCAAAAUAUAAAGAGCUGUGAACACAACUUUUUGUAGGAGGAACCUGAACCCAGUGAGCAAGGAAACUCACUUAUCAAGAUUCUGAAUCUGGCUGGAGGUUAUUGGUGCUGCCAUCAUACAAAUUACCAGGAAGGAGAAGAUCUCUCUUGGGGAUGGUCAAUAAUCAAAACAUCUGCCUUCCAUGCCUCCUUUUAAAGCAUCUGGUACUUGAAGCUAAGAUAUAACAUACAAGAAGCUUAAUCUAAUCUGACUAGUCCUAUGUUCUUUCCAUAAGGCAAGAAGGAAGUAGUUAGAAGCUCAGUAUAUCAUAAUUAGAGCUUCACAACAUUGGAGAGACAGCUCUGCUCUUCUCUGAAGUGUAUUUAAUAAUUUCAAGAGUAUUGCAGUGUUUUUCUUCUUGAUUUGGUAGAACUGAACCCAUUGCACUCCUGACUCCAUGAAGCUCACUGGACUCCACCCGCAGCAAACCACAUUUCAGCAGCUGCCAGUCUGCGUGACCAGAUUCUGAUCCUGCAAAUGUUUGCACUUUCAUACAGGCAGUGAGGCUGAGGAUCCAUAGCACCAAUGGUUCACAGCAGAUUUCUACAGGGUGAGGGUCCCACAACUCCAAGCUUCCAUUUUUUGAGUUCAUUCUAAAUUAUUAGCACCUACCUCCAUUCCAGACCCUUCCUAGGGGAAGGAGCAAUCCACCAUGAGUUUUACACCUCCUGUGCUAUUCGGUUAC
RNAcentral lists this long non-coding RNA (2579 nucleotides) under Gallus gallus (chicken). RNAcentral's name for it is "long non-coding RNA NONGGAT005003". The record is from RNAcentral. Lineage: Eukaryota; Metazoa; Chordata; Aves; Galliformes; Phasianidae.